AUUUGUUAAACAUCUAAGUCCCUCUGAAAUUAUCCUCAACUCUAGCUAGCUGUUUCUUUGCAAUGCAUAUCAUCACUGUUAAUCAAAUUUGGUUCAUCUGCUAUUUAUUUUCAUUUCCUCUUCAUGAAGACAUUGGAUUUGUUGAUGGCCACUGUACUUUAGGUUAAAGCCAUUAUGCAUUCUUAACCUGUAGUCCUUUCACCUAGUGUAAGCUAUAUAAAGAACUUCCGUACUUGAUUUUGGUCAACUCCUUGCAAAAUCUUAAUCAGGUUGUUUUGGUUUUUUGUGAGUAUUAACUUUGAGCUUAGUUGUUUAGUUUUGAUUUGUUGAUUUAAUUGAAUGAGAACCAAAACGAGUAUGCCUCCGAUUCACCUCUACUAACCGGAACCUAAAUUUGUAUGUUAGCCAUGUUCUCGCUCUUGUUCAUCACUUAUUGUGAUUCAUGAGGUGGCUCUAAAGUAGGUCAUGAGAAUGAAGGCUCUGAAACCAUGCAUCUAAGAGAAGCUCAUUCAUCAUGCCGUCAAAAUCCAUCUGAAACCUAUGAGAGUACAAAGUUAAGAUAUUAAUUGAGGUGCCCACUAGGAUGGACCAUUAAUAAUUUGGUCUACCGGUGCACCAUGAUUUAUCACCAUUAGAUCUUAGCAUCUUGGAAUAUUCUUUAAUCGUAUGGUCAAGAUUUGAUGGAUGAAAAAAGGGUAGAAAUGUAAAUGUCAAACACUUGUUCCCCACCCCUUCUCCUUGCCGGAACUGAAUCACCACUGAAUCCCUAAAUCUCUGUCCAUGAGCACUACUUCCAUGAACAAACACUUCCAACAUAUUCUUUUGAAGACAAAUCCAGAAUCAAGAAAGAUUAAAGAAGAGUUGAAAAGGACUAUUGGCCUGUUUGCAUCAGAGUAAAGUGCAAGAAAGAAGCAGAUAUUUUUAUACUCUUGACAUUUUCACAACAAGUGAACUUUAGCUUGAGAUUAAAAAAAAUAAGAACAAGAAUCUGUCUUCCGUUUAUAUCAAAGAUGUUUUUUCAACCACUAUUUUCUAUGCUCUACAUUUAUGGGAUCCAUAUAUACAAAAAUCCCAUUAUACAAAGCAAAAAUACAGUUCAGCAACAACAACUAUAAAAAAGAAAAAUAAAAAAUUGACCGAAACAGAACUGAUAUAACCAGUCAAUAACAACAACCAGCAACCUCAAAAAACAAUCCUUCUACCCAGUAUGCCUUGGCACACCACAAAAGGAAACAGGGAAGAAUUAGAUUUUGGUUCAAAACGGCGUCGGAUCAGGCAACCUCCGGCGGAGAAGGGACGUUGAGGUUAAGAUCCAAGAGUCACUGUGCGAGGCGGCGGCGAGUGUAAAAUCAGCCACCGGGAGAUCGAACCCGCACAUCUCGCGGUGACCAAUGCUCAGCAUGGUCUUCGGACGAGCAAACGCGUUGAAGAACAUCACGGGACGUGCAACCGAAAACGCAAAAGCUCCGUUGCCAGAACCAGCGUGGGCGGAAGCUCGAAUCAGAGAUGUAGGUGAAGAGCUCGAUCUGGGCACAUAGGGAGUAGGUCGUCAGAAGGAUGAAGGUGAAGAGCUCGAUUUGGGCACACAGGGAGACCAUCGCCGGAGAGAUGGGCGGCAGGGAUGGGAGGGGCAGAGGGGAGAGUGGGAAGAGAAGGAGAGCAAUUACAGAGCAAGUGAAGGGAACAUGAAGAAGAAAAGGGUAAAAAUAAGUGAAAAACCAAAAUUGUCCUCUGUUCCACCGGUGGACCAAAAUACAAUUAGCCCACCCUAGUGGGCACACCAUUAAUUGACAUACCAAGAUUGUUGACAUUCAAACCAAAGAAAGUGAGGACCACACCUAUCUAUACCUUAUUAUUUAGGUAGCCUCUUACACUGCUUUGAGUGACCAUGCAUUGCUGCGAUAGCUGCAUUUUUCUCUGCUUGUUUCUUACUGUUGGCAGGUUCACCAGUAAAUAUAUAUUCUAACGCAAGAGGCGUGGUGACACGCGUAAACAUAAGAAAAACAUGGAACCACUAUGGGCGGAAAACUCUACUCACCAACACAGCUGCAUUCAUAGGAAAUCAAAUCCGAGAUUUUGCUCAGGUUAGAACAACUCGGUGUCAGUUGAUAUAUGCACUUGGUGGUUGCAGAAUCAAUUCUGAGAAUCAGCUUCUGGGUCCAGAAUCGGUUCUGAUAAUAGAGAAGCUGAUUAAAACAUGUUAUGAAUAGAUGAGGUUAUCUACUGCUUGGAUCUUUGCAUGAUGAUGGUUAAAAAGUGGAUUUUGGUGGACCUGCUCAAUCUGAUUAAGAAAAGGGUUGGUUUCUGUGUUGCACAGUUGCAGCAUUCAAGUCUUCUCAUUAUCUUCGCUGUCUUCACUAUUUUUUGAUGUCUUUAUAAGCAUGACUUUUAAUCCAUGAACCAACUAUAUUUUAAUUUUCUGUUUUCUGUGCAUUCUUUUUAGUCCAUGUUGUUUAUGAUGCAUAUGACUUGGAAGUAUAGGUGUGGUUUCAUUGCAGUAGUAAGUUCCAGAAAAUAUAUGGAGUUAAUGGUUGCGUUUGGUGUUGGAUUGUUCCGAACAAAUGUGCUUUAACCCCAUCUCAGUGUGUUUGGUAGUGUAUGGUCGUUGGUUUCUAAUGACUUAAAAUUGUUACCGAUUGUUGAUAAGGAUUUAGAUUUGAAUAUUGGCUUGAGGAAUUAUUAUUGCACUCAUAAUUUAAUAGUUUCUGUUUUUAUAUACCAAGCGGGAUAAAACAAAAUAUAUAAUUUUGAUUUGUAAUCAUUCUACUGUGUUUGGGUUAAGGACGUAUCUCUAUGGAUUUAAAGGUGACUUAUCGACUUAUUUUAACUUAUGGAAAAAAUUCAAUUAAGGGGAAUAUAUCUCUAUGGUGAUUCACUUAUUGUGUACUUAUCUCUCUCUGUAUUUAGUCUUCUGGAACUUCUACAACCACUUCUUUUUCCUCUGUCACAUGUUCAGUUUAUUGGUUAAUGUAGUUUUCCUUAUUCCUUUUUCCUCUUCAAAAGAACAUGGAAGUGAUAAUAAAUGCAAUGGUGACAUGAAAUAGACUUGGUCUGCAGUGGUUGAGCUAAGCUUGAUAUUGCAAGAUGUUAGAAUUCUAGGAUUCCAAUUCUUAUGUUUUAACUACUAAAUUUAAGCCUUUGAAAGUUGGCAAGCUAUAGCAAUCAAGAAGAGGUAUUCUUGUGGUAGAGUUAUAUAGCUGACCUCUUAUAUAUUGAACUCUUUUCUCUUCCUCCUUUUGGUUAUUUUCUUUAAAUGAUGAUGUUUCCAUGAAAUUAAGCUCAAUUAUUAAAGACCGCAUUUAGAAUGAUGAGGACAUGAGAGUUUUAGUAUCUAAGCUUUCAUCUCCUAUUUCAUCUCAACUCCUUCAACAGCAUCUGAAUGUAUUUUUUCCUAUCUUUUAUUUUAAUUGUUUUCUGAGCUUAGGAUGGUUAAUUACUUUUCUGUUCUAUUUCAGGGAACUCUUCUCAGACCUUGGUGGAUUUAACUUGUGGUUCUCUUUUCACAAUGAACCUUGUGCAAUUGGUCUCCAAGAAGCACUUGGAUAUUGAAAAGGAAGAAGAUGACAAGAUGUAUCUAUUAUGGAGAAUGGGAGCACGAGUCUGUUUGGCUUAUGUACAGAGGGAAGAUGUAUUGCGGUGUGGUGGCACUGGAAUGUCGAUGAUGGAGAAAGGGGAUUCCAGCAGAGGUUGCACCAUUUGUUCGUAAGCAUGGGAAAGCUCCAUGGACCUUAAUGGGCACAUAUGGAAAAAAGACUCUCAGAUACUUGCACCUGAAAAACCCAAGAAAGUAGCAAAGUUUGGAUCUGGCUGCAAACAAUUCUGCAGAGAACUAAUUAAAGCAAAUCAUUACUUGUGGUUCAGGUUCACAGGUUUAGAUGUUUGAGAGGUGCAAUUGGAUAUUUCUGGGUAUUGCAUGAUGUUUUUGGGGGUGAUUAUGUAAUCUUUAAUACAUUUUGGCUUUCUCUAAAUCUUUUUUGUUGGAAUAUUAUAUGGUGUACUUCAUAUCGUGUCAUGUUUAAAUGUAUGCUAAAAUUAUCUGCUUCUCAAAAAAUCAAUUUAAUACUUCUAGGUGUUGAUUUUUUUUGAAAAAAAUAAAAGUGGUUGUUUCUUAGACAUGGGCAAUCCAUAGGAUAUACAUUCAGGAAAAGAUCUUAGUCCCAAAAUGUAUAGACAUUC
RNA transcript from Lotus japonicus, 4176 nucleotides. RefSeq lists it as uncharacterized. The record is from RefSeq and is a predicted model, not a curated record. Lineage: Eukaryota; Viridiplantae; Streptophyta; Magnoliopsida; Fabales; Fabaceae. The transcript has 3 exons.